RNAcentral lists this ribosomal RNA (554 nucleotides) under uncultured bacterium. RNAcentral describes it as "partial 16S ribosomal RNA". It matches the Rfam family "Bacterial small subunit ribosomal RNA", at positions 355 to 900 of the family's 1533-position model. The record is from RNAcentral.
UAGGGAAUCUUCCACAAUGGACGCAAGUCUGAUGGAGCAACGCCGCGUGAGUGAAGAAGGUUUUCGGACCGUAAAGCUCUGUUGUUGGUGAAGAAGGAUAGAGGUAGUAACUGGCCUUUAUUUGACGGUAAUCAACCAGAAAGUCACGGCUAACUACGUGCCAGCAGCCGCGGUAAUACGUAGGUGGCAAGCGUUGUCCGGAUUUAUUGGGCGUAAAGCGAGCGCAGGCGGAAGAAUAAGUCUGAUGUGAAAGCCCUCGGCUUAACCGAGGAAUUGCAUCGGAAACUGUUUUCUUGAGUGCAGAAGAGGAGAGUAGAACUCCAUGUGUAGCGGCGGAAUGCGUAGAUAUAUGGAAGAAUACCAGUGGCGAAGGCGGCUCUCUGGUCUGCAACUGACGCUGAGGCUCGAAAGCAUGGGUAGCGAACAGGAUUAGAUACCCUGGUAGUCCAUGCCGUAAACGAUGAGUGCUAAGUGUUGGGAGGCUUCCGCCUCUCAGUGCUGCAGCUAACGCAUUAAGCACUCCGCCUGGGGGAGUACGACCGCAAGGUUGAAAC